This 444-nucleotide ribosomal RNA is filed under the name uncultured bacterium. Its description in RNAcentral is "partial 16S ribosomal RNA". It matches the Rfam family "Bacterial small subunit ribosomal RNA", at positions 354 to 796 of the family's 1533-position model. The record is from RNAcentral.
GUGAGGAAUAUUGGACAAUGGGCGCAAGCCUGAUCCAGCCAUGCCGCGUGCAGGAAGACGCAUCUAUGGUGUGUAAACUGCUUUUGUACGGGAAGAAACACUCCCUCGUGAGGGAGCUUGACGGUACCGUAAGAAUAAGGAUCGGCUAACUCCGUGCCAGCAGCCGCGGUAAUACGGAGGAUCCAAGCGUUAUCCGGAAUCAUUGGGUUUAAAGGGUCCGUAGGCGGUUUAAUAAGUCAGUGGUGAAAGCCCAUCGCUCAACGAUGGAACGGCCAUUGAUACUGUUAGACUUGAAUUACAAGGAAGUAACUAGAAUAUGUAGUGUAGCGGUGAAAUGCUUAGAUAUUACAUGGAAUACCAAUUGCGAAGGCAGGUUACUACUUGUGGAUUGACGCUGAUGGACGAAAGCGUGGGGAGCGAACAGGAUUAGAAACCUAGUAGUCC